AUGGCCAUGGACAAUGCUACAGCAGUAUUUGAGUUUCUUCUUAUUGGAAUCUCUAACUAUCCUGAAUGGAGAGUCACAUUUUUCACAUUGGUACCGAUAACUUACCUCAGAACGUUAUUGGGGAAUGGACUUAUCAUCUUUCUUAUCCACACUGACCCCCACCUCCACACUCCAAUGUACUUCUUCCUUAGUAAUCUGUCUUUCUUAGACCUUUGCUAUGGAACAGUCUCCAUGCCCCAGGCCUUGGUGCAUUGUUUCUCUACCCAUCCCUACCUCUCUUACCCACGAUUGUUUGACCCAAAUAAGUGUCUCCUUGGUCUUGGCCACAGCAGAGUGCCUCCUGUUGGCUGUCAUGGCCUAUGAUUGUGUGGUUGCUAUCAGCAAUCCCCUACGCUAUUCUGUGGUCAUGAAUGGCUCAGUGUGUGUUUGGCUGGCUGCUACCUCAUGGGGGGCAUCACUUGUGCUCACUGCCAUGCUCAUCUUAUCCCUGCAACUUCAUUUCUGUGGGGCUAAUGUUAUCAACCAUUUUGUCUGUGAAAUUCCCUCCCUUCUUAAGCUGGCUUGUUCUGAUACCAGCCUCAAUAAGCUUAUGAUCACCACAAGUAUUUUCCCUGCUCCUACCCUUUGGGUUGUUUCUCCUCUCCUAUGUCCGAAUUGCCACUGCUGUUCUAAGGAUUCGUUCAGGCCUUUUCUACCUGUGGUUCUCAUUUGACUGUGGUGGCAAUCUUCUAUGGGGCAGCCAUUUCCAUGUAUUAUGAAACCACAGUCCAAGUCAUCCCCUGACAAGGACAAGUUUACCUCAGUGUUUUAUGGGGCUUUGACACCCAUGCUGAAACCCCUAAUAUAUAGCCUGAGGAAUAAGGAUGUUAAAGGGGCAAUGAGGAAAGUUAUGGCAAAAAGGGCAUAA
Lipotes vexillifer (Yangtze River dolphin) is the source of this 907-nucleotide non-coding RNA. The record is from RefSeq and is a predicted model, not a curated record. NCBI's taxonomy places the organism in Eukaryota, Metazoa, Chordata, Mammalia, Artiodactyla, Lipotidae.